This 253-nucleotide ribosomal RNA is filed under the name uncultured bacterium. RNAcentral describes it as "partial 16S ribosomal RNA". It matches the Rfam family "Bacterial small subunit ribosomal RNA", at positions 524 to 776 of the family's 1533-position model. The record is from RNAcentral.
UACAGAGGUCCCAAGCGUUACUGAGAAUCACUGGGUUUAAAGGGUGCGUAGGUGGUCCGUUAAGUCAGUUGUGAAAUCCCCGGGCUCAACCUGGGAAUUGCGGUUGAAACUGGCGAACUAGAAUCUGGCAGAGGGGGGUGGAAUUCCACGUGUAGCAGUGAAAUGCGUAGAGAUGUGGAGGAACACCGAUGGCGAAGGCAAUCCCCUGGGCCUGCACUGACGCUCAUGCACGAAAGCGUGGGGAGCAAACAGG